ACCCUCUGAAAAGCACACCUUAGGCCUUGCACUGACGACUCACUGAGCCAUCAAGGAAGGGCAAAGCAAAAACACCACUUUUGGGGGAAGUGGCAGCGUGUCGUGUUGUUUCGCUUCAAUCCGUGGUGUUCAAAAA
Molecule: small nucleolar RNA, 136 nt
Organism: Phyllostomus discolor (pale spear-nosed bat)
Lineage: Eukaryota; Metazoa; Chordata; Mammalia; Chiroptera; Phyllostomidae
Source: RefSeq, a predicted model, not a curated record